CACAGUUUCCUGUCGCGUGGAUGUGUUUCCUCUCUGGCCAUUGCCAUCCGCCCAAAUCUACAGACAUCCCGCAUGUUCCCGGGCUCGUCUCCCCAAUACAGGGCACCAAGCCACUUCGGAAGCGUUUUCCUCUCCACUCUGACAACAGGCAAGAGUGAGGGUCCAACAAUACAGAGGAAGUAACGUGUCGCUGCUACUCUUCCAUGCCCAGUGCCAGGAGCGACGGUACACUCCAGAGUGCUGUGCCCUGAUGGGCCUUUGAGUGGCCAGUGCAGUGGAUCAUCAGCCCUGUCUCCCAAGAGCUCCAGUCCCUUCUCCGGAGAGGAAGUGGGUCCACUGGCAGCUCAGGAGGCCAUAGCAGAUUGUGGGGCUCUGUGCAGUUGAUGUUAGUUAACCACUGGAUCCACGUGUUCACCGUGGCUUGCGCCCCUGCAUCCGAAAGUGAUCUUGGCUGCCGUGUCCUGGUCAUUGGUAGUGCAGGGAAAGGAUGCGGAAAGACGGGCUCCGAGCUCGGGGCGUCUGGCCUGGAGCUUUCCUACACUUGUGUCUUGCUCUGCAGCCUUACGGAAGUGUGGGUGGCGCUUUCUGGAAGCUGCACAAGAUUGUCACGUGUGCUCAACAGUCCUCCUCGGCUUUCCAGAAGAGGCUGGAACAGGGCCCUUGAAGAUGUUUGUGGACAUCAGAGGGCCAAAGACGACACAAAGUGAAACUGGAGACACCGCCCCCCCUUGGCAUCAUGAAACUGCCGAUGUUACUGGCUCAUGCAUGGGAGACACCAGCAUACAAAGUCUUGACACCAACACCUCAGAGGGCUGUGUUCUGUCCCCGUGACCAUCAUCUAGUGCCUGGAAAGACUAGUGACAAGAACUUGUUGCCAACUUCCUAUUACCUCCCUAACAGUUGUGCAAUAAACCCCAUAGGUUAAUUCA
RNAcentral lists this long non-coding RNA (929 nucleotides) under Mus musculus (house mouse). RNAcentral's name for it is "small nucleolar RNA host gene 17". The stretch from base 428 to 540 matches the Rfam family "Small nucleolar RNA SNORA71". The record is from RNAcentral. Lineage: Eukaryota; Metazoa; Chordata; Mammalia; Rodentia; Muridae.